AUUGAACGCUGGCGGCAUGCCUUACACAUGCAAGUCGAACGGCAGCGGACCUUCGGGUGCCGGCGAGUGGCGAACGGGUGAGUAAUAUAUCGGAACGUACCUUUCAGUGGGGGAUAACGUAGCGAAAGUUACGCUAAUACCGCAUAUUCUGUGAAGCAGGAAAGCAGGGGGAUUCGCAAGACCUUGCGCUGAUUGAGCGGCCGAUAUCAGAUUAGCUAGUUGGUGAGGUAAAGGCUCACCAAGGCGACGAUCUGUAGCGGGUCUGAGAGGAUGAUCCGCCACACUGGAACUGAGACACGGUCCAGACUCCUACGGGAGGCAGCAGUGGGGAAUUUUGGACAAUGGGCGCAAGCCUGAUCCAGCCAUGCCGCGUGAGUGAAGAAGGCCUA
This 389-nucleotide ribosomal RNA is filed under the name uncultured bacterium. RNAcentral describes it as "bacterial SSU rRNA". It matches the Rfam family "Bacterial small subunit ribosomal RNA", at positions 30 to 418 of the family's 1533-position model. The record is from RNAcentral.